This 484-nucleotide ribosomal RNA is filed under the name uncultured bacterium. RNAcentral's name for it is "partial 16S ribosomal RNA". It matches the Rfam family "Bacterial small subunit ribosomal RNA", at positions 30 to 507 of the family's 1533-position model. The record is from RNAcentral.
AUUGAACGCUGGCGGCAGGCCUAACACAUGCAAGUCGAGCGGAUACAGGGAGCUUGCUCCUGGAUUCAGCGGCGGACGGGUGAGUAAUGCCUAGGAAUCUGCCACGGAGUGGGGGAGAACGUCCAGAAACGGGAGCUAAUACCGCAUACGUCCUACGGGAGAAGGUGGAGGAUCUUCGGACCUCAGGCUAUCACAUGAGCCUAGGUCCGAUUAGCUAGUUGGUGGGGUAAAGGCCUACCCAGGCGACGAUCCGUAGCUGGUCUGAGAGGAUGACCAGCCACACUGGAACUGAGACACGGUCCAGACUCCUACGGGAGGCAGCAGUGGGGAAUAUUGGACAAUGGGCGAAAGCCUGAUCCAGCCAUGCCGCGUGUGUGAAGAAGGUCUUCGGGUUGUAAAGCACUUUAAGUUGGGAGGAAGGGAAGUAAGUUAAUACCUUGCUGCAUUGACGUUACCAGCAGAAUAAGCACCGGCUAACUUCGUG